CCUACGGGAGGCAGCAGUGGGGAAUAUUGGACAAUGGGCGAAAGCCUGAUCCAGCAAUGCCGCGUGAGUGAAGAAGGCCUUCGGGUUGUAAAGCUCUUUUUACCCGGGAAGAUAAUGACUGUACCGGGAGAAUAAGCCCCGGCUAACUCCGUGCCAGCAGCCGCGGUAAUACGGAGGGGGCUAGCGUUGUUCGGAAUUACUGGGCGUAAAGCGUACGUAGGCGGCUUUGUAAGUCAGAGGUGAAAGCCCACGACUCAAUCGUGGAACUGCCUUUGAGACUGCUUCGCUUGAAGAUGGGAGAGGUUAGUGGAAUUCCGAGUGUAGAGGUGAAAUUCGUAGAUAUUCGGAAGAACACCAGUGGCGAAGGCGGCUAACUGGACCAUUCUUGACGCUGAGGUACGAAAGCGUGGGGAGCAAACAGGAUUAGAUACCCUGGUAGUCCACGCCGUAAACGAUGAUAACUAGCUGUCGGGGCUCUUGGAGCUUCGGUGGCGCAGCUAACGCAUUAAGUUAUCCGCCUGGGGAGUACGGCCGCAAGGUUAAACUCAAAGGAAUUGACGG
This 561-nucleotide ribosomal RNA is filed under the name uncultured bacterium. Its description in RNAcentral is "bacterial SSU rRNA". It matches the Rfam family "Bacterial small subunit ribosomal RNA", at positions 338 to 916 of the family's 1533-position model. The record is from RNAcentral.